AUAAAAUCAAUAUUGUUAAAGACUUUAUUCAACUCAUUAUUAGUGAGGAAAGUGAGGAUAGCAAAGUCACCUGGUGUCCAUCAAGCAGACCAUCUGGAGGCAAAACUCUUUAUUUAAGGAACUCAGAAGUAAUUAGACUUUCCUAUUUUCUAAAGCCAUAAUCUGACACCAGGCUUCUUUCUAAAACAUGUAUAAGUAACUAGGAUUUCUAAUGCAUCUCCGGAAUGCAUGUAUGUUGAAACUCAUUGUGCAACACUUGCCGACAUCAAGGCACCAAAUUACCUACAUGGCUAAUAUGGUCCAAAUUACCCUUAAGCUCCCACUUUAAGGUCCAUAAAUACCCCUAAGGAAAAUCCACCUUGGCACGCUCAGUCUUGUCUAGCUGAAGCGCCCUGCUAUACUCUGCUGCAGUGUUCUUUCUGUUUAAUAAAACUUUCCUCUUCAAACCUAUUCUGCUGUCGGUACAUUCUUUUCCCAUAUGUGAGCCAAUCACUCUCCACUGCCAGGGCUCUGACAACUUGCCUGGCAGAAACCUAUAGGAUGUUUCAACAUGUUCAAGGGAGAAUCCAAAGAAUAGACACAUUUAUAUAUCAGGAAUAUUAAAAUGAACUUACAAGUGGAUCCCAAACUGGUUUCUCCACAUUGGCAGGGUCAUCCCUUCACCAGAGAGAAUUUAUUUGCAUGUCCAUAGGCAAGACUUAUUUUGUUUGCUGUCAGUCAUUUACAACUUAUAGAUUUGUAAAACAGCACACAGUGAGAUACCCCUACAGGGUGUGAUCUAAACAAUUCAUAGUUUUCCAUUAAAUCACACAUUUUCCCCUCAAGAAUCUCCAGCUGAAAUGAUCCAACAGGAUUUGGUCAGUCUGUGGCCUGGCCAGCUGGGGGCCACACCCUGACGGAGGCCCAUAGCUCCUGAUGAGUGGGAGAGGAUGGGGGACGCUUGGAAAGAACCUAGGGUUCCCACAGUGAGGAUCAGCAUGGCUUUGUAUAGCCCAUCUCUGAAUGCCUCAGAACCCACUAGGAAUAAGCAAUUUACUGUUAUUGAAGUCUGUGAAAUAAUUCAUUCCUAAAUAAAUUUGCUAGGGAAUUGUGGAUUCGGGUAGGGAUCUAUCAAGCAGUUUGAUUCCAGUCAGUCUCGUCAGAGAAUCCUUACCAAGGGCAUCCACAUCUGUGACACCAGCUGCCCAUCAGCGGCCUCGAUUUGUUUCCAGUUUGCUGCUCCAAAGAGGGAUGUCUGUAACCUUCCAGUCUAGAGUCUUCCCAGCAGCAGAGCAGACGGCCAGGCCAUUGGUGCCAGGUAAGAGUUAGUUAACAUGUAGCAAAUUUCUUUGCGGGAAGCACUGGCGAGGGCAUUAGGACUGCAGUGAGUUCUGCCCACUGAGCAGAGUGAUCAUGUUCACUUAUUGUUUUAUGGAGAUGGUGCUGAGGCUGAACACCUACAGCAGCUUUGCUUUAGGGGGCAUGGUUGGUGAUAAUGUUUCCGCUAAAGGGAUUGCUGCCAAGAUGCUGCUAAGGAGAGGCCAACUGGCUCUUGAAUACUCCAUUUCCUUUUAAACGGAGAGAUCUCUUAGGCUCUUCUCACUUUUUUAGUCAUUGAGUGAGUUGAUACACCCCAAAAUGGGGAUGGCAGGCCAAAGAGUCACAAAGCAUCCUCGCGUCAGGCAUUCAGUUCCAGCAAGAGCUUGGUCACAGCUGCCUUGGAACAAAAAAAAAGUUUAUUUGGCUUCUCUUCCAGCAGGUGGCGCUGUUAUACUAGGAACUGCCUCUGAGUAGUCCUGCAGCCAUUAAAUCUUUAAUUAAAUUGAUUUCUCUUUCUCUUGCUGUGAUUCUUUGUCUCUGCUGGGCCACCAGGUAUUGUUUAGGUAGGUAAGAGGGGAAGAAAAAAUGAUACCAGAAGGAAAUGUGGAACAUUAGAAAUGAACAAGAACAGAAAUGGCAAAUAUCUGGAUAAGUAUAAUAGGUUAUUCUUCUCUUGUUGAGUUCUUUAAAAUAUGUAAGACAAUUAAAAGCAAAAAUUUUUAACACCAUUUUAAAAAGUUUCAAAGUAUGUAGCUGUAAUACAUGAGACAAUUACAACAAAAAGAGGAGGAAGGUAAGGAGAUCCAUAUGGUGGUAAGAUUCUGAUAUUCCACUUGAAAUGGUGAAAUAUCGAUUCUAAAUAGACUACAAAAAGUCAAAUAUGUAUAUUGUAAUCCUUAGAACACUGAAAAAUUACACCAAGAGUUAAUGCCAAAAACCCACUAGAGGCCGGGAGUGGUGGCUCACACCUGUAAUCUCAACACUUUGGGAGGCUGAGGAAGGUGGAUCACUUGAGGUCAAGAGUUUGAGACCACCCUGGCCAACAUGGUGAAACCCUGUUUCUACUAAAAAUACAAAAAUUAGCUGGGCAUGGUGGUGCAUGCCUGUAGUCCCAGCUACUUGGGAGGCUGAAGUGGGAGAAUUGCUUGAACCUGGGAGGCAGGGGUUGCAGUGAGCCUAGAUUGCACCACUGCACUCCAGCCUGGGUGACAGAGAGAGACUCCAUCUCAAAAAAAGAAGAAGAAAAAAAAAACCCAAUAACACACACACUAGAUAACUUAAACUAGAAUACUAAAAAAGAAGUUUAAGUAAACCAAACAAAGGAAAAAAAAAAAGGUGAACUAAAAAUACAG
RNAcentral lists this long non-coding RNA (2651 nucleotides) under Homo sapiens (human). RNAcentral's name for it is "HSALNT0249921". The record is from RNAcentral. Lineage: Eukaryota; Metazoa; Chordata; Mammalia; Primates; Hominidae.